AUAUGUUUCCCCUUCUGAUUCCUCUGCUGAUUCACUCUUCCUUUUUGCCUUAUAGGUUUAUUCUGAACCUCCUUGUUCUGCACAGGUUUAUCAUCCCUAUAAUACCAACAUUCAAAUGCAUCAUGACCAAAUUUGAGACAAUGAUUACAAAAGGAAGGCUUCCAAUCGUAUUCAAUUGUCUGUAGCUUUGAGCCAUAUGGGGUGUCAAUCUCCAAUUCAUCUGGAAGAGGAUAGGCAGCAUCUACUUCAACAAGUACCCUAGCAAAUGAAAUCUUCUCAAAGCAUGCAGUAAAUUUGUCUGUAUAUAAUGGCCGACCAAUAGCACUAGCCAAUUUACUUAGCACUUCAGCAGACCAAUAACCAACAGGAAGACCAGGAAAUCGAACCCAAAUAGGCACAAUACUAAGC
Molecule: long non-coding RNA, 408 nt
Filed under: Nicotiana benthamiana
Lineage: Eukaryota; Viridiplantae; Streptophyta; Magnoliopsida; Solanales; Solanaceae
Description: long non-coding RNA (NBEN_LNC024010)
Source: RNAcentral